AGAGACAGCAGUAGCCACGGGAAUACAGAGGGUGCGAGCGUUAAUCGGAUUUACUGGGCGUAAAGCGUGCGUAGGCGGCUUUUUAAGUCGGAUGUGAAAUCCCUGAGCUUAACUUAGGAAUUGCAUUCGAUACUGGGAAGCUAGAGUAUGGGAGGGGAUGGUAGAAUUCCAGGUGUAGCGGUGAAAUGCGUAGAGAUCUGGAGGAAUACCGAUGGCGAAGGCAGCCAUCUGGCCUAAUACUGACGCUGAGGUACGAAAGCAUGGGGAGCAAACAGGAUUAGAUACCCGCGUAGUCCCUGUCUCUUAUAC
This 309-nucleotide ribosomal RNA is filed under the name uncultured bacterium. RNAcentral describes it as "partial 16S ribosomal RNA". It matches the Rfam family "Bacterial small subunit ribosomal RNA", at positions 504 to 807 of the family's 1533-position model. The record is from RNAcentral.